Molecule: ribosomal RNA, 311 nt
Filed under: uncultured bacterium
Lineage: Bacteria
Description: bacterial SSU rRNA
Rfam family: Bacterial small subunit ribosomal RNA
Source: RNAcentral
UCAGACAUAACACAUGCAAGUCGAACGGUGUAGCAAAAAACAGUGGAGCACGGGUGCGUAACACGUAUGCAACCUACCUAUCAUUGGGGGAUAGCCUUUGGAAACGGAGAUUAAUACCGCAUAAGACAGUAGCAUGGCAUCAUGUAGCUGUUAAAGCUUUGGCGAUGAUAGAUGGGCAUGCGUCCAAUUAGUUAGUUGGUCAGGUAACGGCUCACCAAGACGAUGAUGGGUAGGGGAUCUAAGAGGAUAAUCCCCCUCUUGGGGAAUGGGAUACGGCCCAGACUCGUACGGGAGGCAGCAGUAGGGAAUAU